RNAcentral lists this RNase P RNA (193 nucleotides) under Acidimicrobium sp. RNAcentral describes it as "partial RNase P RNA component class A". It matches the Rfam family "Bacterial RNase P class A", at positions 1 to 176 of the family's 367-position model. From Rfam's summary of the family: Ribonuclease P (RNase P) is a ubiquitous endoribonuclease, found in archaea, bacteria and eukarya as well as chloroplasts and mitochondria. Its best characterised activity is the generation of mature 5'-ends of tRNAs by cleaving the 5'-leader elements of precursor-tRNAs. Cellular RNase Ps are ribonucleoproteins. The record is from RNAcentral. Lineage: Bacteria; Bacillati; Actinomycetota; Acidimicrobiia; Acidimicrobiales; Acidimicrobiaceae.
UGAGUCGGUCGGUCGACCGCGGUGUUGCGGUGUUCGCAUUGCAACAUUGAGGAAAGUCGGGACUUCACAGGACAAAGUGCUGGCGAGAGCCAGGUUGGGGAAACCUGACAUUACGUGCAACAGAAAACAAACCGCCGAUGGAAGCGUCGCAAGACUCUUCACAGGUAAGGAUGAAACGGUGCGGUAAGAGCGC